UACGUAGGUGGCGAGCGUUAUCCGGAAUUACUGGGCGUAAAGCGCACGCAGGCGGCCGGUCAAGUCUGACGUGAAAGCUCCUGGCUUAACUGGGAGAGGUCGUUGGAAACUGGCGGGCUUGAGGCAAUGAGAGGGGUGUAGAAUUCCCGGUGUAGUAGUGGAAUGCGUUGAUAUCGGGAGGAAUACCAGUGGCGAAGGCGGCACCCUGGCAUUGACCUGACGCUGAGGUGCGAAAGCGUGGGGAGCGAACGGGAUUAGAUACCCUGGUAGU
This 271-nucleotide ribosomal RNA is filed under the name uncultured prokaryote. RNAcentral describes it as "partial 16S ribosomal RNA". It matches the Rfam family "Bacterial small subunit ribosomal RNA", at positions 524 to 794 of the family's 1533-position model. The record is from RNAcentral.